This 308-nucleotide long non-coding RNA is filed under the name Ananas comosus (pineapple). RNAcentral describes it as "long non-coding RNA (ACOM_LNC033503)". Lineage: Eukaryota; Viridiplantae; Streptophyta; Magnoliopsida; Poales; Bromeliaceae. The record is from RNAcentral.
UAGAGAGAGAGAGAGAGAGAGAGAGAGAGAAGGGCUGCUGUGCUCUCAGGAGCAUAGAGGCCUCUGUGCUCCUAAGCUGUUUUUUAUGAUGAAAUUUUCGAAUCGAUGAUCGGCUCCAUUAGACUUGAUCUAGGGUAUUUGAAGUUUCUAGAAAAUAAUUUUUGCGAUUUUUUGAUAUCAUUUACCUAAUGAUCGAAAGGAUUUAAAAUCAAUAUUUUUUAAUGGUUGAUAUCUGCCGUUUUCAAGUUUAACGGUGUAGAAGUACUCAAAUCAGAUGAAAUUUUGAUACAAAAUUCUUUAUACUAUCU